UUUAUAUGACCUAGCCAUCUGCUGGGAGCACAAAUGUGUGUGACAACAGAAAUGUGAUAUCACACAGGAAACAUUCUAUUCUCCAUUAUCUUCGCUAAUAGUGCAACAUAACUCAAUGCAAAGAAGUAUCCUGACAUUCAGCCCUGCUCCUAAUUCUUCACACACUUCGGUCUUCGGGAGAUUUGACAGGACUAAAGGUGUAUUAAUCUGGGAUCGUGAGGUUGCAGAGAAGGAAGACAUGCUAAACUAGUUCAUAGGAAAUACGUAAGGAUGGACUUAGGAAGCAGCAAGUACCCCAAAUUUCUGUUACAGACAACCUGUUAAUGAACGUAAACCUCACAGUGUAAAAGCCGAAGUGUGGUUGAUGGACGCCAGGAGUCAGAAAGUGAUGAACUGGAGUUCAGCUGAUCUAGGCUGAGUCUGGCUAAAUGGCUUUGCUUCCCCCCUGGGCCAAUGAGUCAACCGAAACAGCUUUGCCCCACAUCUCUUAUCCUUCUCCAGAGACCAGCUGGCUCACCAGGUAACAGCAGAGAUACAAGACAGCAGACCCUACCAUACAAGCACUUUUCUAAUCCCUUACUGCAUCUUGUCUAAGAACAUCCCAUUAUCCAAAGGGUGUCACGUAGCUGAGCCCACAGUCAAAGGGUGAGUCGUGGAGCAGGGAGGGUCUGCAAAGCCACAUGGCAAUGGACAAAGAGGUAGGGAAGGAUGAAGGACUGAAACCAGUGGGCACAGAAAGGUGGGUGAUGGUAGAGGUGAACUAAAUCCUCUUAUAGAUAAACAAAAUUCUAUCAAAGAAGAAACCAAUAGAAAAUACUCUGUAGGACUGAUGGUGUCAUGGUACAAGAA
Long non-coding RNA from Lutra lutra (Eurasian river otter), 849 nucleotides. RefSeq lists it as uncharacterized. The record is from RefSeq and is a predicted model, not a curated record. Lineage: Eukaryota; Metazoa; Chordata; Mammalia; Carnivora; Mustelidae. The transcript has 3 exons.